CAUUAAAGCAGGAAGUGUUAGUGUUUGCCAUGCCACAGAUUAGUGAUGGACUUUAUGCUAAUACAAACAGAUGACAAGUAUGGAUGAGGCCGCAUGUUACCAUGGACAGUCAGUGAAGUGAUUGACAGCCAGCCGCAGGGAGCCUUUUCCUGCAGGGCCUACAGACGAGAAACAUCAGAAGCCAACAGAAGAGACAGUGGCUGCGAAUGAGCUACAGUUGGGGGUUUCAUCUAUCGU
Lates calcarifer (barramundi perch) is the source of this 237-nucleotide long non-coding RNA. RefSeq lists it as uncharacterized. The transcript has 3 exons. The record is from RefSeq and is a predicted model, not a curated record. Lineage: Eukaryota; Metazoa; Chordata; Actinopteri; Centropomidae.